RNAcentral lists this ribosomal RNA (468 nucleotides) under uncultured bacterium. RNAcentral's name for it is "partial 16S ribosomal RNA". It matches the Rfam family "Bacterial small subunit ribosomal RNA", at positions 28 to 507 of the family's 1533-position model. The record is from RNAcentral.
GACGAACGCUGGCGGCGUGCUUAACACAUGCAAGUCGAACGGAAAGGCCCUGCUUUUGUGGGGUGCUCGAGUGGCGAACGGGUGAGUAACACGUGAGUAACCUGCCCUUGACUUUGGGAUAACUUCAGGAAACUGGGGCUAAUACCGGAUAGGAGCUCCUGCUGCAUGGUGGGGGUUGGAAAGUUUCGGCGGUUGGGGAUGGACUCGCGGCUUAUCAGCUUGUUGGUGGGGUAGUGGCUUACCAAGGCUUUGACGGGUAGCCGGCCUGAGAGGGUGACCGGCCACCUUGGGACUGAGAUACGGCCCAGACUCCUACGGGAGGCAGCAGUGGGGAAUAUUGCACAAUGGGCGGAAGCCUGAUGCAGCAACGCCGCGUGCGGGAUGACGGCCUUCGGGUUGUAAACCGCUUUCGCAUGUGACGAAGCGUGAGUGACGGUAACGGGUAAAGAAGCACCGGCUAACUACGUG